AGUGAACGCUGGCGGUAGGCCUAACACAUGCAAGUCGAACGGCAGCACGGUAAGAGCUUGCUCUUACGGGUGGCGAGUGGCGGACGGGUGAGGAAUACAUCGGAAUCUACUUUUUCGUGGGGGAUAACGUAGGGAAACUUACGCUAAUACCGCAUACGACCUACGGGUGAAAGCAGGGGAUCUUCGGACCUUGCGCGAUUGAAUGAGCCGAUGUCGGAUUAGCUAGUUGGCGGGGUAAAGGCCCACCAAGGCGACGAUCCGUAGCUGGUCUGAGAGGAUGAUCAGCCACACUGGAACUGAGACACGGUCCAGACUCCGACGGGAGGCAGCAGUGGGGAAUAUUGGACAAUGGGCGCGAGCCUGAUCCAGCCAUACCGCGUGGGUGAAGAAGGACUUCGGGUUGUAAAGCCCUUUUGUUGGGAAAGAAAAGCAGCAGGUUAAUACCCCGCUGUUCUGACGGUACCCAAAGAAUAAGCACCGGCUAACUUCGUG
This 492-nucleotide ribosomal RNA is filed under the name uncultured bacterium. Its description in RNAcentral is "partial 16S ribosomal RNA". It matches the Rfam family "Bacterial small subunit ribosomal RNA", at positions 29 to 507 of the family's 1533-position model. The record is from RNAcentral.